UGGGGAAUUUUGGACAAUGGGCGAAAGCCUGAUCCAGCAAUGCCGCGUGUGUGAAGAAGGCCUUCGGGUUGUAAAGCACUUUUGUCCGGAAAGAAAUCCUUGGCUCUAAUACAGUCGGGGGAUGACGGUACCGGAAGAAUAAGCACCGGCUAACUACGUGCCAGCAGCCGCGGUAAUACGUAGGGUGCAAGCGUUAAUCGGAAUUACUGGGCGUAAAGCGUGCGCAGGCGGUUUGCUAAGACCGAUGUGAAAUCCCCGGGCUCAACCUGGGAACUGCAUUGGUGACUGGCAGGCUAGAGUAUGGCAGAGGGGGGUAGAAUUCCACGUGUAGCAGUGAAAUGCGUAGAGAUGUGGAGGAAUACCGAUGGCGAAGGCAGCCCCCUGGGCCAAUACUGACGCUCAUGCACGAAAGCGUGGGGAGCAAACAGGAUUAGAUACCCUGGUAGUCCACGCCCUAAACGAUGUCAACUAGUUGUUGGGGAUCAUUCCUUAGUAACGUAGCUAACGCGUGAAGUUGACCGCCUGGGGAGUACGGUCGCAAGAUUAAAACUUAAAUGAAUUGACGGGGUCAUAGC
Molecule: ribosomal RNA, 575 nt
Filed under: uncultured bacterium
Lineage: Bacteria
Description: partial 16S ribosomal RNA
Rfam family: Bacterial small subunit ribosomal RNA
Source: RNAcentral